Molecule: long non-coding RNA, 783 nt
Organism: Bombus terrestris (buff-tailed bumblebee)
Lineage: Eukaryota; Metazoa; Arthropoda; Insecta; Hymenoptera; Apidae
Exons: 2
Source: RefSeq, a predicted model, not a curated record
GGCAACUACCACAUUACCACCUAAUGACAAAAUCACAAUCACUUAGUUGCCAAACCAAUAGAAUGAUCUCUUUCGGGUUUAGGCUUUAUGUACGUUACAUCGCACAAGUGUUAGAGAUCGCUAAUUUAGCUAAUUUAACAAGAAAUCUUGAGAUUCUUAAUUGGAUAACGCAGAGAUUAAUUUCCUACGCGCGAUAAAUAUAAAAACACAGAAAUAUGUUUAUCUUGCGUAACAUUAUAUACACUUUGAUUAGGAUCUUUGAUAUACAAUCGAUAUUUUUAUGUCUGAAAACAAGAGAAACGAAGAUUAUGAAGAAGCUAAAUUGAGUAUGAAUAUAACGUAAACAAACAUCGGUGAAAAAGCAUGGAAAGAACGAGCUGUUAACCUUCAACUGGAGCUUUUAGAAUAAAAAGACAAGAUGACAUCUCUUUCUAUUUCGUACAUUCUUCUCCUUUUCCUCCAAACAUCUGUAAACUCAUCCCGAGCUUCACGUAAUUGAACUUUUAUUUCAUAAACACUACAAAUUAUAUAUUAUACCGCGACUAUAAAAGCAGAAAUACAAAAUGUUGCAUCAAACACAGUUGCUUUUCGCCGGAUAUGCAAAAGUCAAUCUCAAACUAACGGCUUAAUCAAUUAAUGUCGAUGACAUAACGCUGGACAGACUAUUUGUUGAACGACAAACAUUCUAUUUCUCCAUGUGACUCGAUCGAGGGACGAGUAGAGUGGCUCAGUGUACGAAAAAAAAAGAACAGAAUUUAGAUUAGUUUUUUUUUUUUUACCAAA